This 468-nucleotide ribosomal RNA is filed under the name uncultured bacterium. RNAcentral's name for it is "partial 16S ribosomal RNA". It matches the Rfam family "Bacterial small subunit ribosomal RNA", at positions 28 to 507 of the family's 1533-position model. The record is from RNAcentral.
GACGAACGCUGGCGGCGUGCUUAACACAUGCAAGUCGAACGGAAAGGCCCUGCUUUUGUGGGGUGCUCGAGUGGCGAACGGGUGAGUAACCCGUGAGUAACCUGCCCUUGACUUUGGGAUAACUUCAGGAAACUGGGGCUAAUACCGGAUAGGAGCUCCUGCUGCAUGGUGGGGGUUGGAAAGUUUCGGCGGUUGGGGAUGGACUCGCGGCUUAUCAGCUUGUUGGUGGGGUAGUGGCUUACCAAGGCUUUGACGGGUAGCCGGCCUGAGAGGGUGACCGGCCACAUUGGGACUGAGAUACGGCACAGACUACUACGGGAGGCAGCAGUGGAGAAUAGUACACAAGGGGCGGAAGCCUGAUGCAGCAACGCCGCGUGCGGGAUGACGGCCUGCGGGUUGUAAUCCGCUUUCGCCUGUGACGAAGCGUGAGUGACGGUAAUGGGUAAAGAAGCACCGGCUAACUACGUG